GCCGCAGUCGUCUAGGGGUAAGGACACCAGUUUGUGGCCCACCACAUCCAAUCUCACUGGAAACCGAGGUUCGAGUCCUCGCUGCGGCA
This 89-nucleotide transfer RNA is filed under the name Claviceps sp. Clav50 group G5. RNAcentral's name for it is "tRNA-His". It matches the Rfam family "tRNA". From Rfam's summary of the family: Transfer RNA (tRNA) molecules are approximately 80 nucleotides in length. The record is from RNAcentral. RNAcentral also lists the same sequence under 1 other name. Lineage: Eukaryota; Fungi; Ascomycota; Sordariomycetes; Hypocreales; Clavicipitaceae.